CAAAAGGGAAAAAAAAUCCCAUCUAUUUUUCAUCGGUUUCUUUCAUCUUCUUCCUUCUUCUCUGUGCAUGUUACGAAAUCGAUUGAUCACUCCAGCAUCUCCUCCAAAUCCGUCAAUGAAAUCACGAUGAAGAUUUGGUGCCAUCAAGACUUUGUGCCAUCGGCUUGGUUCCAUCGAUUUGGAUCCAAAACUCGUUGUAUUCGAAAGACUCGGGAGAGAGGAAGAACAUGGACGUUGUUACUUAUGAGUUAAAAAAAAUUACUGUUAAUUCGGUCAAGUGGCCAGGAAUGAAAAUAUGAACACGUCAAGGUAGAACGGUAGAACCUAUGAAUAGUUGAUUAUAGAUCGCAUACAAUGUGUCUUAUCUCAUCACCUUACCAACCAAGGCUAAGUACUUGAAGAUCAAUUUAGUCAGUUCGGAACGGGAAAUUGAACUCUUCCAACUUUAAGUUGGACCACCCAAAUCUGAAUCGAUAAAUGGAUUGUUUAUUGCUUGUAAUCUUUUUGUUUUGACUUGUUACUUUCAAGUUUAAGAAAUAAGAUUACUGUCGAUUUGUCAAA
Long non-coding RNA from Brassica oleracea var. oleracea, 561 nucleotides. RefSeq lists it as uncharacterized. Lineage: Eukaryota; Viridiplantae; Streptophyta; Magnoliopsida; Brassicales; Brassicaceae. The transcript has 2 exons. The record is from RefSeq and is a predicted model, not a curated record.